RNAcentral lists this ribosomal RNA (464 nucleotides) under uncultured bacterium. Its description in RNAcentral is "partial 16S ribosomal RNA". It matches the Rfam family "Bacterial small subunit ribosomal RNA", at positions 28 to 506 of the family's 1533-position model. The record is from RNAcentral.
GAUGAACGCUGGCGGCGUGCUUAACACAUGCAAGUCGAACGGAAAGGCUCCUGCUUGCAGGGGUACUCGAGUGGCGAACGGGUGAGUAACACGUGGGUGAUCUGCCCUGCACUUCGGGAUAAGCCUGGGAAACUGGGUCUAAUACCGGAUAGGACGAUGGUUUGGAUGCCAUUGUGGAAAGUUUUUCGGUGUGGGAUGAGCUCGCGGCCUAUCAGCUUGUUGGUGGGGUAAUGGCCUACCAAGGCGUCGACGGGUAGCCGGCCUGAGAGGGUGUACGGCCACAUUGGGACUGAGAUACGGCCCAGACUCCUACGGGAGGCAGCAGUGGGGAAUAUUGCACAAUGGGCGCAAGCCUGAUGCAGCGACGCCGCGUGGGGGAUGACGGCCUUCGGGUUGUAAACUCCUUUCGCUAGGGACGAAGCACAAGUGACGGUACCUGGAGAAGAAGCACCGGCUAACUACGU